GACGAACGCUGGCGGCGUGCUUAACACAUGCAAGUCGAACGGAAAGGCCCUGCUUUUGUGGGGUGCUCGAGUGGCGAACGGGUGAGUAACACGUGAGUAAUCUGCCCUUGACUUUGGGAUAACUUCAGGAAACUGGGGCUAAUACCGGCUACGAGCUCCUGCUGCACGGUGGGGGUUGGAAAUUUACGGUGGUUGGGGAUGGACUCGCGGCAUAUCAGCUUGUUGGUGGGGUAGUGGCUUACCAAGGCUUUGACGGGUAGCCGGCCUGAGAGGGUGACCGGCCACAUUGGGACUGAGAUACGGCCCAGACUCCUACGGGAGGCAGCAGUGGGAAAUAUUGCACGAUGGGCGGAAGCCUGAUGCAGCAACGCCGCGUGCGGGAUGACGGCCUUCGGGUUGUAAACCGCUUUCGCCUGUGACGAAGCGUGAGUGACGGUAAUGGGUAAAGAAGCACCGGCUAACUACGUG
RNAcentral lists this ribosomal RNA (468 nucleotides) under uncultured bacterium. RNAcentral describes it as "partial 16S ribosomal RNA". It matches the Rfam family "Bacterial small subunit ribosomal RNA", at positions 28 to 507 of the family's 1533-position model. The record is from RNAcentral.